GUGAGGAAUAUUGGUCAAUGGACGAGAGUCUGAACCAGCCAAGUCGCGUGAAGGAAGACGGUUCUAUGAAUUGUAAACUUCUUUUGUGCAGGAAUAAAGUGGGUUACGUGUAACCUUUUGUAUGUACUGUACGAAUAAGGAUCGGCUAACUCCGUGCCAGCAGCCGCGAUAAUACGGAGGAUCCGAGCGUUAUCCGGAUUUAUUGGGUUUAAAGGGUGCGUAGGUGGAUUGAUAAGUCAGCGGUGAAAGUUUGCAGCUUAACUGUAAAAUUGCCGUUGAAACUGUCGGUCUUGAGUGCAAAUGAGGUAGGCGGAAUGUGUUGUGUAGCGGUGAAAUGCUUAGAUAUAACACAGAACUCCGAUUGCGAAGGCAGCUUACUGGGAUGCAACUGACACUGAUGCACGAAAGCGUGGGUAUCAAACAGGAUUAGAAACCCCGGUAGUCC
Molecule: ribosomal RNA, 445 nt
Filed under: uncultured bacterium
Lineage: Bacteria
Description: partial 16S ribosomal RNA
Rfam family: Bacterial small subunit ribosomal RNA
Source: RNAcentral